CAGGUUGGGUUGUAGCUGUAGAAGUCAGUCCCGGUUGGGUUGUAACUGUAGAAGUCAGUCCCGGUCCCGGUCAGGUUGGGUUGUAACUGUAGAAGUCAGUCCCGGUUCCGGUCAGGUCGGGUAAUAGCUGUAGAAGUCAGUCCCAGUCCCGGUCAGGUUGGGUUGUAACUGUAGAAGUCAGACCCGGUCCGGUUGUAGAAGUCAGUCCCGGUCCUGGUCAGGUUGGGAGGGGUGUCAGUGCUGUUACUCUGAAGGUAUUGCACUUGUCCCGGCCUGUUUAGGAUUGAGGAGAUGGUGCUCCUACUCUUUAAACCUGCUAAAGCAGUUGGUUGCGUGUUUGAAAUGAUUGAAUGAAACAUAUAUUUACCAAAAAAUGAGACUUGUAUGUUUUCUGUCCCAUGAUUCUGUUUUUCUAGAUUUGUCUUUAAUUAAUGAAGAGGUAGUUUUCUAAAUUGUAGAUGGAUUGUCGGAGCUUAAAUGUGUCCGUCCAUAUGGUGAGUACUUGUUUCAUGCUGUGGUUUUGUUUCAAAUAAAGUUUCCAUGUAAAUGUA
This is a non-coding RNA of Oncorhynchus mykiss (rainbow trout), 551 nucleotides long. Lineage: Eukaryota; Metazoa; Chordata; Actinopteri; Salmoniformes; Salmonidae. The record is from RefSeq and is a predicted model, not a curated record.